Long non-coding RNA from Xenia sp. Carnegie-2017, 1186 nucleotides. RefSeq lists it as uncharacterized. Lineage: Eukaryota; Metazoa; Cnidaria; Anthozoa; Malacalcyonacea; Xeniidae. The transcript has 4 exons. The record is from RefSeq and is a predicted model, not a curated record.
AAUAUAAUCAAAAUGUCUGAUCCUAGUUCUGGAACUUCUUUUCGAGCCAGAAGGCGAUUAUUUGUUGGUGAUCUGUACAAAGGAGUGUCAAAGGACAAUUUAAGAAUGAAAUUUGAGCCAUUUGGAGAUGUCAACAAUAUACAAAUAAUUGAACGUGUUUGUGCAGAUUAAGAAGAGAGAAGAAAAAUUUUCAAAAUCAAGAUUUAGUCCCACCAAAAAUACUUACAUCAUCCACAAGAAAGAAUCAAUCACCACAAGAGAUUUGCAAGAAGAUUCAAAGUGCGUACUCACCUUGUAUAUACAGAUUGAGUAUUGUGAGAAGAGUACUCUAAGGAAUGUUGUUGAUGAGGGAUAGUACAAGGACCAAAAGAAUGUGGCGGCUUCUCCGUGAGAUUAUAGAAGGAUUAGUUCACAGGUAGAAGAAAUACAUGAAAAUGAUACUUCCGACAGUGAAAGACAAUCAAGCUUGACAGAGGAGAAACAACGAAUCCAGGUUGAAAAUAGCUUGAGGAAAAUUGAACGUAGUUGAAGCACCUAGCGUAUGCUCGAGAGGUUUGGAUGAGGACUCGUGGACCAAUGAAAACAUGAAUGGUUCGAAGCAUGUUUACGACGAUAAAAGUUCUAGCAGAUCACUAUAAAGUCCACGACAAGCAGAAUGUAAACCACAAUAACCUUGUUGUAAUUUAUUGAUGAAAUUCACCACAAUUGUCAUCAUUUCUUCUUCAAAACAAAUCAAUUAGCUUCGAAAGAUUAUAAAUCACCCGUAUAGAAACUGACGUAAAAAGCGUUAUCAUCAACAUAAGCCUCUUAACAAAUCCCAUUAAGAUUUUCGUCGACAAUUUGUCGAUUGCUUUGUAAUCUUAUGUAAAGUUAUGCGUAGCUGAAGACUUCAAUAUAAAACCUACAAGGGAACAAUGUUUCAAAUUGUUUUCAGGAGAUUCUCAAAGUUAAAUGUUGAGCCAGACCUUCUGCAUAAGCUACCAAAAGUUGUAACCGAAGCAAUGCGAUCGUGACCGGGCCUUAAUUCUUUCUUGAAGUUCGUGAAAGUGUUCGCAACAAAUGGUUUAAUAUCUUCAUUCUUCAUUUUGACGCUUUCUCUGAUCCAGAAUUAGUAGAAGAUUUAUGUAUAGCUGUAGAAAAGCUAUUGUAAUGCUGAUAUUUGUUAAUACACUGGAAACUACAAAAA